Molecule: ribosomal RNA, 253 nt
Filed under: uncultured bacterium
Lineage: Bacteria
Description: partial 16S ribosomal RNA
Rfam family: Bacterial small subunit ribosomal RNA
Source: RNAcentral
UGCGUAGGGAGCAAGCGUUAUCCGGAUUUACUGGGUGUAAAGGGCGGGUAGGCGGGAUGGCAAGUCAGAUGUGAAAUCCAGGGGCUCAACCCCUGAACUGCAUUUGAAACUGUCGUUCUUGAGUACUGGAGAGGUUGACGGAAUUCCUAGUGUAGCGGUGAAAUGCGUAGAUAUUAGGAGGAACACCAGUGGCGAAGGCGGUCAACUGGACAGCAACUGACGCUGAGGCGCGAAAGCGUGGGGAGCAAACAGG